UUUUGUUUUUGUUUAAUUAAGUUUUAAAACCUUAAUCCCUAAAGAGAGCUACAUCGUAUAAUAUAAAAUGCAGAGCAAACAGCUUGUUAUUUCUGAAUGUUGAUAUUAAAUAUCUGAUUUAUUAAUAUCUCAUUUUAUCUAGCCAUUUUUAGUGCAGGGAGGGAGAUUACCUUGAAUGCUCUAGCUUCAGCUGCAUCCAAGUAUGACCUGCAGUUCAAAUCAGCUCCUGCUGGGGUAAAAGUGCCAAAAGGAUCCUAAAUAAGAGCAGCUGAACAAUAUAUGUAAGGAAUUAAACUUUUUAGGAAAACCUGACACGCACUAAGCAAACCAAAAGCAAGGAAAACUAAAUGUGAAACUGUAAGUGACUCCUACGAGAGGUGGCAGAGGACAGCAUUUUGGUCAGAGACCCAGGCCACACCACAUCCCUCCUCUAAAGCCCAGCCGUGUUCAAUUGCCUGAAGGCUCCAAAUCACCUAAAUGGGCAAGCAUAUCCCAUUUCACUCCCUGCUCGUGCUUCCUGGAGCAAGCAGGAAUUAUAAAUAGGUGUUACCGUAAACCUCACCCCUUGCUCUGGAUUUUGGAUAGUAGGCCAGAUCCAGCUGCACAAGAAGAAAUUUUAUGGGGUCAGUGCAGCUCCUGGCAACAUCAGCGGGACUUCUGCAACUAAUGUCGAGGACAAGGGAUUGACUGAGGCCUAUCAAAGUGCACAUGGGAUUGCAGAGUUCCCAGAUAUUUAUUCCAUGUAUGCUGAGUGAAGUUCAACAAGUCACUGACUGUGUCUUCAGAGAUGCUGAAUACCUUGAAACCCACCAGUUUCAGUGGGAUUUGUGAAGUCAAAGACAGCUCAAAGCUUCUCAGCAUGGGAAGCAAAAUUAAAUUUUGCUGCAUGAAAAAAUGAAGUCAAGAGAAAGUUCACUUCUGUCUCAGGAGAGGAAAAGGAGGGAAGGGGAAGAAGGAGGAAUUUCACUGGAGAGCCAGAGAAAGAGCUCCAGGGAGCCAGGAUUUCUGCAUCAGGUGUUGCCAGCAGGGGACAGAGAAUCACACUACCACCAGGGGACUGCUCGUUUGCCACUUCACAGUCCGUCUCCUCUGCCCCAGUGCCUGUUUUCAGACCAAGAGACUGACAUGAUCUGUCAAGAUCGAGACACAGAAAAGCUGCGCACAUCAGUGUCAGUGCUCUGUCUGGCUGCUGAGACUGAUCUUCGUCUGCUAAGGCCUGGGUUCUUCAAAACAACCUGCCAAGGCAGCAGAGUACAGCUGGGAGUCAGACUUCUGCCCAAUUUCAGCUUUAGAGUAUGUGGCCAGAAUCCCACCUGUCGGUAUGUAAAUCUCAUCUGCUUUACAGCAGUCACAUUCAGCAAUACUUGGGCAGUAAGCAUACUACAUUUCUCUGUAGUAACUGGUUAAAACAAAACUUAGAGUCUUGAAUCCCAUUCUGAUUUCAUUUACACUAAAUUAGUCUGGAUGUCUUUGAUUAACGAAAAGAAAUUAGAUAUGAUCAGUCACAGGGGUGGAGAAUAUUUUUCAACUCAUUGGCUCAGGCUCCAGCUGGAUAAACUGGCAUAAUCUCAUCGACUUCGAUGGAGAAAAACUAUGGGUCAGCUGUGUCAAUGGCACAGAGAUACAACUCCCCUUAAUUUAGGGCUGACUGACUGCAUCCACAGAGAGUAUUAUCCUCACUGUAUUUCUAGACAACAGUUUAUGGAAACAAGACCCUGUGGUGCAGCUAAGCAGCUCAAGAGAACAGGCAAGGGGAUGAGAGUCAAAAUGCUGCUCUCUGAGCUGCACAAUGCUGGGGAGGAGUGGGGCAACGCUUGGUCCUUGGCACAACUGACACCAGACUCAGAAGUCUUGUGCUUUAGGCAAAGUUGUCGGUGCCUAAAAAACACACCAUAAUUUAAGGAUGAACAGCCCUGUUCUAACCUCUUCCCUUCCACUUCCAGAAAGCUGGAGCACAAUUAUUGUAAUGCCAGGAGAGAUACUCGCCCCAUAAAAAAAUCCCGAGGGAAGCGCACUCCAUGGAUAGGCUGGUGCAAAGCAGGCAGAGGACGAAGAUUUAGGGCUGCUGGCUCUCACAACAGCUGUAGUUUGGAAUUCACGGUAUAAAAGAUUUAGCUUGUCUUACUUGUACUUUAUUUAUUUCAGUUACCCUUACAUUUUUCAUAUAUUCCCCUAGGAGCUGCCAAUGUGUUUUUAGUUAUUCAAAUACGUGCGCCUGUGUGUUAUAUUUUCCAUCCCCUUAGUUAAGAAGAAUAUGCUUCUUCUUUACGAAGUAGAUAACUGAAUUUGGAUCUCAAACUAUUUUUAACAAAGCAGCAGUUCAUUGUGGCGAUUACCACACAUGCACAUUAGAAGCCAAGUGCCAAAUACUCCUGCUCAAUUUCUUUAACAGCUGAAAGAAAUCAUUUUUUAAAAUAUUCUGCUAACAGCUGAAUGGCUUUCCUUCAGGCUUCUGGGAUAAGGUGGAUAUAUAAGUUUGCAGCCUAAAAUAACCAAAAAGUAGUCACAGCAAACACAGACUUUAGACAUAAUGUGAUAUCUAUAUUAUAACUGUAGCAACCUCAGAGAGUAAAUUACCCAGUUACAAUGGUAAUACUGUAUAUUGGUAUAGCAACUUCCAUCCAGAGCCUUCAAAAUGCUUUGAUGGAAUAUUAGUCAUCAUGGCAUUCCUGAUGAACAGUUGUCAUUGUCCUCAUUUCAGAGAUCAAAACACUGCAACACAUCAUGAUUUAAAUGUCUUGCUAGCUUCACUUAAGAAAUCUGUAGCAGAGCCAUGAAACAUGUCCAGAUAUGAGGACCUCACAUUUUAAACUCUCAGUCUAAAGUCUUACUCUUCAAUGCAUCAUGUCUUUGUAUUUGAUCUUUGUCCAGAACUUCAAACUUAAUUUAAACUCUCAGUUGAAAGUCUUACCAUUCGUAUACUGUGACCCACAAUAAAACUCUGUUAAUGUAGCUGGAGACUUCGUCU
Molecule: long non-coding RNA, 2968 nt
Filed under: Anas platyrhynchos platyrhynchos (common mallard)
Lineage: Eukaryota; Metazoa; Chordata; Aves; Anseriformes; Anatidae
Description: lncRNA (ENSAPLG00000031228.1)
Source: RNAcentral